Molecule: non-coding RNA, 637 nt
Organism: Odocoileus virginianus texanus
Lineage: Eukaryota; Metazoa; Chordata; Mammalia; Artiodactyla; Cervidae
Source: RefSeq, a predicted model, not a curated record
UUUUGCUACCCUUAGUAGGGUUGCUGGGAGAAGGAUGUAAUGAUGACUGUAUGUAAUUAGAUCAUUGUGUUCUUAAAACACAGCUAUGAAUUCUCUCACACAGCUCCCAUCCGUACUUGAGUGUAUGGCCCUCCUCUUCAGACUUGGACAAGACUUUGUGAUGAUCUGGGUGGGGAGAAUGCAGCAAAGGGAUACAGAGUGGCGUUCAAGCCAAGAAUGGAAAAGAUCAUGCAGCUUUUGCCUGCCUUCUCUUGGGAUCCUGAGAAUCACCAUAUGCCAAGGAAAAAGCCUAACUUAUGCAAAUUCACUAUUUGGAGAGACCCCAAAGGAUAAAGGGAGAGAGAGAUGUCUGAGCUCCUGUUGGUCCUUUUGAGACUUCUAGCUGAGGUACCACCAUCUGAGGAGCAGAUGCUGGAAUGCUGUGACCCUGAGAAGUGACUGCACCCUGCCAGGCCUGACAGCUGCCUCCCCAGAUGACACAUUUACCCCUCCUCCAAGCGCAAGUGUGCUGGCAUGGAACUGCAUCGGACCUGAACCCACGUGCAUGGGAGCAGCUAGAAGGCCAGGAGUUUGCCAGAAGCCAGCUGAAACAAGAGCCUGUGAAACAAAGUGAGACACAGCAGAGCAGAGACGGGGA